Molecule: ribosomal RNA, 497 nt
Filed under: uncultured bacterium
Lineage: Bacteria
Description: partial 16S ribosomal RNA
Rfam family: Bacterial small subunit ribosomal RNA
Source: RNAcentral
GACGAACGCUGGCGGCGUGCCUAAUACAUGCAAGUAGAACGCUGAAGAGAGGAGCUUACUCUUCUUGGAUGAGUUGCGAACGGGUGAGUAACGCGUAGGUAACCUGCCUUGUAGCGGGGGAUAACUAUUGGAAACGAUAGCUAAUACCGCAUAACAAUGGAUGACACAUGUCAUUUAUUUGAAAGGGGCAAUUGCUCCACUACAAGAUGGACCUGCGUUGUAUUAGCUAGUAGGUGAGGUAAUGGCUCACCUAGGCGACGAUACAUAGCCGACCUGAGAGGGUGGUCGGCCACACUGGGACUGAGACACGGCCCAGACUCCUACGGGAGGCAGCAGUAGGGAAUCUUCGGCAAUGGGGGCAACCCUGACCGAGCAACGCCGCGUGAGUGAAGAAGGGUUUCGGAUCGUAAAGCUCUGUUGUAAGUCAAGAACGGGUGUGAGAGUGGAAAGUUCACACUGUGACGGUAGCUUACCAGAAAGGGACGGCUAACUACGUG